AUGUUAGACUACAAUUUUGACCGGAUGUAUCUUCUGGAGUUUGGGGGGGUUUCCUUGAAAUCGGGAGGAAGCACAGGACAGUCUGUGAAGCAAGCAGCUGGCAUUGUGACUUCUGCUGAAGGACAAGCUAUUUCUCUCAGUUGUUCCUAUGAAGCACAAUAUAGUGGCACAUUUAACACCUACUGGUACAUUCAGCACGCUGGUCAGCCUCUGAAGCUCCUGUUGUCAGAGUAUGCAAAUUAUGGACCAGGGUUCCAUGCGAUCCACAUCAAAGGAGAUAAAAAGAGGACUUUCCAUUUAGAGAAAGAUGCGAUUCAGCUGAAGGACUCUGCUGUCUACUUCUGUGCUGUAGAGCACAAUGAGAGGAAGCAGAAGGAGAGCCAAUGA
Molecule: non-coding RNA, 387 nt
Organism: Thamnophis elegans (Western terrestrial garter snake)
Lineage: Eukaryota; Metazoa; Chordata; Lepidosauria; Squamata; Natricidae
Source: the annotation of a RefSeq genome assembly